RNAcentral lists this long non-coding RNA (1869 nucleotides) under Salmo salar (Atlantic salmon). RNAcentral's name for it is "lncRNA (ENSSSAG00000117798.1)". The record is from RNAcentral. Lineage: Eukaryota; Metazoa; Chordata; Actinopteri; Salmoniformes; Salmonidae.
UGUGAGGAGGGGAGGUCUGUUGAAGGGCUGUGAGGAGGGGAGGUCUGUUGAAGGACUGGGAGGAGGGGAGGUCUGUUGAAGGACUGUGAGGAGGGGAGGUCUGUUGAAGGACUGUGAGGAGGGGAGGUCUGUUGAAGGACUGUGAGGAGGGGUGGUCUGUUGAAGGACUGUGAGGAGGGGAGGUCUGUUGAAGGACUGGUGUGUGGCCGGCAGCGAGUUGCCACAUCGUCAUCCUCAGCACAGGCAUCUUCUUCAUCACCUCAGAGUGUGUGUCUGUGUGUCUGUGUGUGUGUGUGUGUCUGUGUGUGUGUGUGUGUGUGUGUGUUGUGUGUGUGUGUGUGUGUGUGUGUGUGGCUGGGUGGGUUACAUUCUGAGUGUAAUUUGUCACUAGAUACCCGUCCAAAAUUGUAAUCGGUAACAUAACUGUUGGGAUUACCCAAACUCAGUGACAUAACUGUUGGGAUUACCCAAACUCAGGAACAUAACUGUUGGGAUUACCCAAACUCAGGAACAUAACUGUUGGGAUUACCCAAACUCAGUAAUGUAACUGUUGGGAUUACCCAAACUCAGUAAUGUAACUGUUGGGAUUACCCAAACUCAGGAACAUAACUGGCUGUGUAGUGUGUUAUAGCUGUAUAGAGCUGUGUAGUGUGUUAUAGCUGUAUAGAGUUGUGUAGUGUGUUAUAGCUGUAUAGAGCUGUGUAGUGUGUUAUAAAGUUGUGUAGUGUGUUAUAGCUGUAUAGAGCUGUGUAGUGUGUUAUAGAGCUGUGUAGUGUGUUAUAGAGCUGUGUAGUGUGUUAUAGAGCUGUGUAGUCUGUUAUAGAGCUGUGUAGUGUGUUAUAGAGCUAUGUAGUGUGUUAUAGAGCUGUGUAGUGUGUUAUAGCUGUAUAGAGCUGUGUAGUGUGUUGUAGCUGUAUAGAGUUGUGUAGUGUGUUAUAGCUGUAUAGUGCUGUGUAGUGUGUUAUAGAGCUGUGUAGUGUGUUAUAGAGCUGUGUAGUGUGUUAUAGAGCUGUGUAGUGUGUUAUAGCUGUAUAGAGUUGUGUAGUGUGUUAUAGCUGUAUAGAGCUGUGUAGUGUGUUAUAGCUGUAUAGAGCUGUGUAGUGUGUUAUAGAGCUGUGUAGUGUGUUAUAGCUGUAUAGAGCUGUGUAGUGUGUUAUAGGCUGUGUAGUGUGUUAUAGCUCUGUAUAGAGCUGUGUAGUGUGUUAUAGCUGUAUAGAGCUGUGUAGUGUGUUAUAGCUGUAUAGAGCUGUGUAGUGUGUUAUAGAGCUGUGUAGUCUGUUAUAGAGCUGUGUAGUGUGUUAUAGCUGUAUAGAGCUGUGUAGUGUGUUAUAGCUGUAUAGAGCUGUGUAGUGCUGUGUAGUCUGUUAUAGAGCUGUGUAGUGUGUUAUAGAGCUGUGUAGUCUGUUAUAGAGCUGUGUAGUGUGUUAUAGCUGUAUAGAGCUGUGUAGUGUGUUAUAGCUGUAUAGAGCUGUGUAGUGUGUUAUAGCUGUAUAGAGCUGUGUAGUGUGUUAUAGAGCUGUGUAGUCUGUUAUAGAGCUGUGUAGUGUGUUAUAGCUGUAUAGAGCUGUGUAGUGUGUUAUAGAGCUGUGUAGUCUGUUAUAGAGCUGUGUAGUGUGUUAUAGCUGUAUAGAGCUGUGUAGUGUGUUAUAGAGCUGUGUAGUCUGUUAUAGAGCUGUGUAGUGUGUUAUAGCUGUAUAGAGCUGUGUAGUCUGUUAUAGCUGUAUAGAGCUGUGUAGUGUGUUAUAGCUGUAUAGAGCUGUGUAGUGUGUUAUAGCUGUAUAGAGCUGUGUAGUGUGUUAUAGCUGUAUAGAGCUGUGUAGUGUGUUAUAGCUGUAUAGAGCUGUGUAGUGUGUUAUAGCUGUAUAGAGC